Molecule: ribosomal RNA, 545 nt
Filed under: Blastococcus sp.
Lineage: Bacteria; Bacillati; Actinomycetota; Actinomycetes; Geodermatophilales; Geodermatophilaceae
Description: bacterial SSU rRNA
Rfam family: Bacterial small subunit ribosomal RNA
Source: RNAcentral
UGGGGCUAAUACCGGAUAUGACCGCUGACCGCAUGGUCUGGUGGUGGAAAGAUUUAUCGGCUGGGGAUGGGCCCGCGGCCUAUCAGCUUGUUGGUGGGGUAGUGGCCUACCAAGGCGACGACGGGUAGCCGGCCUGAGAGGGUGACCGGCCACACUGGGACUGAGACACGGCCCAGACUCCUACGGGAGGCAGCAGUGGGGAAUAUUGCGCAAUGGGCGGAAGCCUGACGCAGCGACGCCGCGUGGGGGAUGACGGCCUUCGGGUUGUAAACCUCUUUCAGCAGGGACGAAGCGGAAGUGACGGUACCUGCAGAAGAAGCACCGGCCAACUACGUGCCAGCAGCCGCGGUAAUACGUAGGGUGCAAGCGUUGUCCGGAAUUAUUGGGCGUAAAGAGCUCGUAGGCGGUUUGUUGCGUCGGCUGUGAAAUCCCGAGGCUCAACCUCGGGUCUGCAGUCGAUACGAGCAAACUAGAGUGUUGCAGGGGAGACUGGAAUUCCUGGUGUAGCGGUGAAAUGCGCAGAUAUCAGGAGGAACACCGGUGGC